This 245-nucleotide long non-coding RNA is filed under the name Olea europaea (common olive). Its description in RNAcentral is "long non-coding RNA (OEUR_LNC003979)". The record is from RNAcentral. Lineage: Eukaryota; Viridiplantae; Streptophyta; Magnoliopsida; Lamiales; Oleaceae.
GAUCACUUCGCAUAACAUGAGAAAAGCAGAAAUAUGCUCAUGAGGAUUUUCUGUGGCUUUUCCAAAGAACCUGAUGUCUUGGUGAUUUUGAAACAAAUUGAUGACAUCUGGUCGAAGGUGGAAAUUAGGUUGUCCAAAAGGGGGGUAUACCACAGCAGGUUGCACUGGUGCGGGAAUUGGAUUGAUGUAAUCCCCAACUAAGACAUGAGCUUCGUUCUGGUUAGCUCUCGGUUGAUUUGGCUGUG